Molecule: long non-coding RNA, 551 nt
Organism: Tyto alba (common barn owl)
Lineage: Eukaryota; Metazoa; Chordata; Aves; Strigiformes; Tytonidae
Exons: 2
Source: RefSeq, a predicted model, not a curated record
GCCUUUUUCCUCUCUGCAAGAAGAAACCUGACACAUUGGGACCUCAAUCACCAAAACACCAUGAAUGUUUCCAGGAGGAUACAUUCUCUCCGUGCUCACAGACAGAAAACCAGUGGGAACAAAAAUGAGAACUGGCACAGCACCUCUGGGUUCAAGCACCAGCAUGGCGAUGAUCUUGCUACAGUCCAUACCCUUUACACAGUGAUUGUCAUGAUCCUUCUAAUAGCAAUUUGGGGAGCCUGGUCAAGAAAGGAUUCAUCCUUAUAGCAGCAGUAUGCUUUCUUUGUCAAAUAUUUAAAGGAAUGUUUGUGUCAAUUAUUCAUAUCCAGGAGGUAAAAAAAAAAAAGGUCUCAGCAUACUACAGUUUACUUGAAACUGCUUAAACUGUUGCUACUUGUGGAACUGAAUCUGUGAAGCAAUUUAAUAGUCAAUGUGCAGAACAUGACUUCGUGAAUAACAUAUACCUGUUUGCAUUGUACAUGUUUAUAUUACCCUUUGCACGUAUAUGAAACUUACUUUAAGCACAAUAUGCUAGCAAGAAGAGUUCAGCA